Molecule: transfer RNA, 76 nt
Filed under: Halanaerobium saccharolyticum
Lineage: Bacteria; Bacillati; Bacillota; Clostridia; Halanaerobiales; Halanaerobiaceae
Also listed under: 9 other names
Description: tRNA-Thr
Rfam family: tRNA
About the family: Transfer RNA (tRNA) molecules are approximately 80 nucleotides in length. Their secondary structure includes four short double-helical elements and three loops (D, anti-codon, and T loops).
Source: RNAcentral
GCUGAUGUAGCUCAAUUGGUAGAGCAGCUCACUUGUAAUGAGCAGGUUACCAGUUCAAGUCUGGUCAUCAGCUCCA